This 471-nucleotide ribosomal RNA is filed under the name uncultured organism. Its description in RNAcentral is "partial 16S ribosomal RNA". It matches the Rfam family "Bacterial small subunit ribosomal RNA", at positions 334 to 797 of the family's 1533-position model. The record is from RNAcentral.
CACUCCUACGGGAGGCAGCAGUGGGGAAUUUUGGACAAUGGGCGAAAGCCUGAUCCAGCAAUGCCGCGUGUGUGAAGAAGGCCUUCGGGUUGUAAAGCACUUUUGUCCGGAAAGAAAUCCUUGGCUCUAAUACAGUCGGGGGAUGACGGUACCGGAAGAAUAAGCACCGGCUAACUACGUGCCAGCAGCCGCGGUAAUACGUAGGGUGCGAGCGUUAAUCGGAAUUACUGGGCGUAAAGCGUGCGCAGGCGGUUUGCUAAGACCGAUGUGAAAUCCCCGGGCUCAACCUGGGAACUGCAUUGGUGACUGGCAGGCUAGAGUAUGGCAGAGGGGGGUAGAAUUCCACGUGUAGCAGUGAAAUGCGUAGAGAUGUGGAGGAAUACCGAUGGCGAAGGCAGCCCCCUGGGCCAAUACUGACGCUCAUGCACGAAAGCGUGGGGAGCAAACAGGAUUAGAAACCCUUGUAGUCCC